CCCUUAGAUGUUCUGGGCUGCACGCGCGCUACACUGAUGUGUUCAUCGGGUUCGACCUUGCCCGGGAGGGUUGGGUAAUCCUUUCAAAACACAUCGUGAUGGGGAUAGAUUAUUGCAAUUAUUAAUCUUCAACGAGGAAUUCCUAGUAAGCGCGAGUCAUCAGCUCGUGCUGAUUACGUCCCUGCCCUUUGUACACACCGCCCGUCGCUCCUACCGUUUGAGUGAUCCGGUGAAUAAUUCGGACUGCAGCAGUGUCCAGUUCCUGGACGUUGCAGCGGAAAGUUUAGUGAACCUUAUCACUUAGAGGAAGGAGAAGUCGUAACA
RNAcentral lists this ribosomal RNA (324 nucleotides) under uncultured eukaryote. Its description in RNAcentral is "partial 18S ribosomal RNA". It matches the Rfam family "Eukaryotic small subunit ribosomal RNA", at positions 1470 to 1796 of the family's 1831-position model. The record is from RNAcentral.